This 253-nucleotide ribosomal RNA is filed under the name uncultured bacterium. RNAcentral describes it as "partial 16S ribosomal RNA". It matches the Rfam family "Bacterial small subunit ribosomal RNA", at positions 524 to 776 of the family's 1533-position model. The record is from RNAcentral.
UACGGAGGGUGCGAGCGUUGUUCGGAAUUACUGGGCGUAAAGGGCGCGUAGGCGGCCGAAUAAGUCUGACGUGAAAUCCCUCGGCCUAACCGAGGAACUGCGUCUGAAACUGCUCGGCUCGAGUCCGGGAGAGGGUAGUGGAAUUCCCAGUGUAGCGGUGAAAUGCGUAGAUAUUGGGAGGAACACCGGUGGCGAAGGCGGCUACCUGGACCGGUACUGACGCUGAUGCGCGAAAGCUAGGGUAGCAAACAGG